GGCGAACGCUGGCGGCGUGCUUAACACAUGCAAGUCGAACGGAAAGGCCCUGCUUUUGUGGGGUGCUCGAGUGGCGAACGGGUGAGUAACACGUGAGUAACCUGCCCUUGACUUUGGGAUAACUUCAGGAAACUGGGGCUAAUACCGGAUAGGAGCUCCUGCUGCAUGGUGGGGGUUGGAAAGUUUCGGCGGUUGGGGAUGGACUCGCGGCUUAUCAGCUUGUUGGUGAGGUAGUGGCUUACCAAGGCUUUGACGGGUAGCCGGCCUGAGAGGGUGACCGGCCACAUUGGGACUGAGAUACGGCCCAGACUCCUACGGGAGGCAGCAGUGGGGAAUAUUGCACAAUGGGCGGAAGCCUGAUGCAGCAACGCCGCGUGCGGGAUGACGGCCUUCGGGUUGUAAACCGCUUUCGCCUGUGACGAAGCGUGAGUGACGGUAAUGGGUAAAGAAGCACCGGCUAACUACGUG
RNAcentral lists this ribosomal RNA (468 nucleotides) under uncultured bacterium. Its description in RNAcentral is "partial 16S ribosomal RNA". It matches the Rfam family "Bacterial small subunit ribosomal RNA", at positions 28 to 507 of the family's 1533-position model. The record is from RNAcentral.